RNAcentral lists this unclassified non-coding RNA (329 nucleotides) under soil metagenome. RNAcentral describes it as "partial contains 5.8S ribosomal RNA, internal transcribed spacer 2, and large subunit ribosomal RNA". The stretch from base 1 to 120 matches the Rfam family "5.8S ribosomal RNA", at positions 35 to 154 of the family's 154-position model. The record is from RNAcentral.
GAUGAAGAACGUAGCGAAAUGCGAUAAGUAAUGUGAAUUGCAGAAUUCAGUGAAUCAUCGAAUCUUUGAACGCACAUUGCGCCCUCUGGUAUUCGGGGGGGCAUGCCUGUUCGAGCGUCAUUAUAACCACUCAAGCUCUCGCUUGGUAUUGGGGCUCGCGGUUCCGCGGCCCCUAAAAUCAGUGGCGGUGCCUGUCGGCUCUACGCGUAGUAAUACUCCUCGCGAUUGAGUCCGGUAGGUCUACUUGCCAGCAACCCCCAAUUUUUACAGGUUGACCUCGGAUCAGGUAGGGAUACCCGCUGAACUUAAGCAUAUCAAUAAGCGGAGGA